GACGAACGCUGGCGGCGUGCCUAAUACAUGCAAGUCGAACGAGAGCGACCGGUGCUUGCACUGGUCAAUCUAGUGGCGAACGGGUGAGUAACACGUGGGUAACCUGCCCAUCAGAGGGGGAUAACAUCCGGAAACGGAUGCUAAAACCGCAUAGGUCUUCGAGCCGCAUGGCUUGAAGAGGAAAAGAGGCGCAAGCUUCUGCUGAUGGAUGGACCCGCGGUGCAUUAGCUAGUUGGUGAGGUAACGGCUCACCAAGGCCGUGAUGCAUAGCCGACCUGAGAGGGUGAUCGGCCACAUUGGGACUGAGACACGGCCCAAACUCCUACGGGAGGCAGCAGUAGGGAAUCUUCCGCAAUGGACGCAAGUCUGACGGAGCAACGCCGCGUGAGUGAAGAAGGUUUUCGGAUCGUAAAACUCUGUUGUUAGAGAAGAACAAGUGCUAGAGUAACUGUUAGCGCCUUGACGGUAUCUAGCCAGAAAGCCACGGCUAACUACGUG
RNAcentral lists this ribosomal RNA (498 nucleotides) under uncultured bacterium. RNAcentral describes it as "partial 16S ribosomal RNA". It matches the Rfam family "Bacterial small subunit ribosomal RNA", at positions 28 to 507 of the family's 1533-position model. The record is from RNAcentral.